CCCAGCCCUGUGCUGCCCAGAUAAGAGCAGCGAGACAGAAGCCGCUUUAGUGUACUGCACUUCAGCUGCUCUGUAACCAGAGAAUAGAGCACACAGCACUUUGGAAAUGAAUUGAAACUGCAUAGAAUAGGAGAAGAAAAUCGGAUCUGAGUCCUGCUGAAGUCUUGGGCUCCUUCAAGAAUUGGGGAGGCAACGCAAAACCCCAAGACAGUGGUUUUCAGUACAUGAACUGAAGCUUCUGGCUGCUGCAGAAGAGUUUUCCUCUAUGUCUCUCAUGAAACUUCCAUAAAGCAUUUGCAAUGCCUUGACGUUCUGCCAUCCGAGGGGGAAUUAAUCGCCGGGAUGGCAUGAAGAGCACAGCACAGAAAGCAGGCAUGGUCCAGACCUCAAGGGACUAAUUAUGUUCUUAAAGGGGAACUGCUGGGGGACUCCCCGCUCUUUGGGAGGGCUGCCAAGGCCCCGUCUGUUUGCAUCUCCUCGUCCUGCAGCCAGCACCCUGACAGCGUGGUAGUGACCGGUCCUGCUGAUGGUAAAGAGACUUCUCCGACCAAACGCCUCAGCUGGCUUUGGGAAGCACCUCCACGCCGAAGGACUGAAUUCCUAAAUUUGUUCAGUGACAGAAACUGCUCCGGAAAAGCCUGCGAAAGCUUUGAUUUCUUGCUAGAUUUAGAAUAACCUGUGUAAAGGGCAGCAAGCAAACAGAUCCAAGUUGACUGGAUUACGACACUGUCUUAAGAACUGCCGGUUGGUUGACGUGUGCUAUUCUGACUGAAGCAAAUGAAAAUGCAUCAUCACAACACUGAAUUAAGAGUCAAGUAAAAUAUUGUUGGUAAGAAGCCGGAGAGACUGAAUGUAUUCAAGACUGGUGGACCAGAACCUCUUGCAUCCAUACCUGUGACAAAUGAAAAAGGAGCUACAUCUAAGGGUCAAGUCCUCUCUACUCAAGUAUGAUCGGACGAGGGAUUUAAGGGCAACAACAGCCUCUUUGCUGGUCUGCAGGCCUGAUGAGCCAAAAGAGCCCCUACUGCCGUUGGUCCACCUAAGGACAAGGAUGCGAUGCAGCAGUUAUAUCCCAAAGAACAUACACAUCCAGCACAUUUCCCUGGCAGAGCUUCACAAACUUGGCAAUCAGGUAUGUAUCAUGCGGGAUACAUCUCUACACUGAUCAUCAAGAAUAUCCUCAGCAAUUCUCUAAUUGCAGUUGGAACAAUAGUGGGCCAAGCAACGUUUUGGUUUUGUUGAUCCUUAACAACCCAGGAGAAGUACUGCUUUUGGCUGUAUACUUCAAUACAUCUUGAAACUGUCAUGAAAGGUGAAGAUCCUUGAUUUCUGAACAGUGAUUGGGCUGAACUCAAGACUUAAUAUAUUUUAAAUGAAUUUACCUCAUAACCCAGUAGCCUUCCACUACUCAUCUUCCAGGGAAUGGCUGUCCAGGAGACUUCGAUGGCUGAGGAGGACAGGCUAGUCGCUGAUACGCCAGCAGGAGCUACAGUAGGCUCUGUAAUGGGAAAUCAAAACAUGAGAGAUCAGCAACAUUGACCCCAACUUUGACUUCAUACUGGUGAAAAGGGCAAGAUGCUUUCGUUCCUAAAGACGUAUCUGGGUGUGUCAGGAGAGGUAACUACAGUCUGUAUCCAUGUUGUGGUGCCAAAGGGACGGAAAGCGACAACAUAUCCAAAUCCUUCUCCAUUUUGUAACUCUUCAGGGAUGGGCUGUGAGAAAAGGAAACAGUGACAGAAGUCUGGUCUGUGACGUUAAAUACAGCACUGGAAAAGCUUUGCAGGAGGAAAGUGCCACCAUGCUAAUGCACAAGGUUGUAAACAGGUUCUGGUACUACAUAUGGGAUCAUUCCAUCAACAAAUCAACUCUGGUACAGUAGAGUGAAACACAUUCUUUUGAACCUAUUGUAAUGCUUGCACUUCAGGAGAAGUUCAUACAUCUCCGGUAUAUGCCUCGUUUUCCACUAAGUGCUUAGUUUUAAGGCACCAUUCAGUAAACACUUAUUUUCAAUUUCUAGUCAAAAUUCAUAGUUCAAAAAAAUUAACUGCUUAGUCAAUUGUUGGAGAAUCCAAUACUACCUUUGUACAGUGGCUUAUACCUUCCCCCAAUGUGAUUAUGAUUAAGUAACCACAGGGAGUCAUCAAUAUUAGUACGUAAUAGUAUGUUAACAUCUUUUAACUCAUUAGAAAUGGGAUGUGUAACUUAAAGUAGUAGCUGAUUCUUUGCAUGGGUUAGCACAUGCAUUCACAGUUAAUGGUAACAAAGCACAGACUGUAAAGUUGCACUGACCAGCACAAUGCUUUGGCUCCACCUUUGAGUAACGCCCAUUUCCCAGCCCAACAAUUGUUUGAGAACAGAAGCAAUCACCUUAGACAAUAACUAAAGUUCUUACUGAUUGCAGACUAGCACAGUAACAAGCAAAGGAGGGAAGGCAAACGUGCAUAGCCCACAUAGCAGAAUGUUACCAAACACAUUCCUAGAUGAGAAGCUGCUGCAGCCAGGAAAACUCAUCUUUUAAGAACAGUUUGAAUGAAAACAACCAUUCUGUGAAGAAAAUUGCUUGCCAGAAAACUUACAUCCCAUGUUAUGACCAGUUCAGACCUGCUGCCGCCUCCCCCACUGACUUCAGAUGGGGGAAUUUCAGGAACUGUGAAAAAGAAACGUACAGCUGUCUGUGCAGUAUAGAUAGACGAGGUGACAUCUUACAAUGUUAACCUCAUUCUUUGAAGCUAACCCAGCAGUUUUCCUAUUUCUUUUGCAAAUCUAGGCAAGUGCUUUUGAACCAGCAUGAGCAUGUCCUGGAAAGGGCCAGCCCCUUCGUUCAACUGGCUUUUAACCUCCUUUGGGCGGACAGGUAUUUUUCUCAAUGUUUUUAGAACCUCACUGUAUUAUAUGCCAUAUCUGCUUUAAUGUUUAUGAACUUCUGGCAUACUUCAGAUUUUCAACAGAGUUAACUCAUGCAGAUGUAUCAGGCAAUAGCCUUAUUCCAAAUACCACUGGGAGCUUUAAUUGAUGUGUUCUGAGCUACAUGCUUAUUACAUGGAAGGUAUACACUGACCAAACACUGGGAAGGGGAAAAGUAGUCAAAAUUCACCUCUUCCUAUCCAUUAACAUUUUUAUAUUCUGCAGCACUAACUAAACAGACAGCUUUUUGCAUACUAAAAACAGUUGAAAUGUAUUUAAAUGUUAUGUGUAAUGCAACACAAACUGUCCCACAGCUAAAUGGAAAAAUCAUCAACAAACUAGUUAUAGACUUUUAUAUUUGAUAGCAAUGCCAAGCCUGUUUGCAGUGAGUCAAGGAUAUGAUUUUUGGGGGGAAUAUAUUUACAAUUCUUGAAUUAAAAACAAAUAAAAGAACCCACUAACCUGCC
Anas platyrhynchos (mallard) is the source of this 3371-nucleotide non-coding RNA. The record is from RefSeq and is a predicted model, not a curated record. Lineage: Eukaryota; Metazoa; Chordata; Aves; Anseriformes; Anatidae.